UCGAGCGGUAACAGGGGUAGCUUGCUACCCGCUGACGAGCGGCGGACGGGUGAGUAAUGCAUAGGAAUCUGCCCGAUAGUGGGGGAUAACCUGGGGAAACCCAGGCUAAUACCGCAUACGUCCUACGGGAGAAAGGGGGCUCCGGCUCCCGCUAUCGGAUGAGCCUAUGUCGGAUUAGCUAGUUGGUGAGGUAAAGGCUCACCAAGGCGACGAUCCGUAGCUGGUCUGAGAGGAUGAUCAGCCACAUCGGGACUGAGACACGGCCCGAACUCCUACGGGAGGCAGCAGUGGGGAAUAUUGGACAAUGGGGGGAACCCUGAUCCAGCCAUGCCGCGUGUGUGAAGAAGGCCCUCGGGUUGUAAAGCACUUUCAGUGAGGAAGAACGCCUGGUGGUUAAUACCCAUCAGGAAAGACAUCACUCACAGAAGAAGCACCGGCUAACUCCGUGCCAGCAGCCGCGGUAAUACGGAGGGUGCGAGCGUUAAUCGGAAUUACUGGGCGUAAAGCGCGCGUAGGUGGCUUGAUAAGCCGGUUGUGAAAGCCCCGGGCUCAACCUGGGAACGGCAUCCGGAACUGUCAAGCUAGAGUGCAGGAGAGGAAGGUAGAAUUCCCGGUGUAGCGGUGAAAUGCGUAGAGAUCGGGAGGAAUACCAGUGGCGAAGGCGGCCUUCUGGACUGACACUGACACUGAGGUGCGAAAGCGUGGGUAGCAAACAGGAUUAGAUACCCUGGUAGUCCACGCCGUAACGAUG
RNAcentral lists this ribosomal RNA (751 nucleotides) under bacterium 28W312. RNAcentral's name for it is "bacterial SSU rRNA". It matches the Rfam family "Bacterial small subunit ribosomal RNA", at positions 62 to 811 of the family's 1533-position model. The record is from RNAcentral.